CCUACGGGGGGCAGCAGUGGGGAAUAUUGCGCAAUGGGCGAAAGCCUGACGCAGCGACGCCGCGUGAGGGAUGAAGGUCUUCGGAUCGUAAACCUCUGUCAGCAGGGAAGAACGGUCACUGUGCUAAUCAGCAGUGAAUUGACGGUACCUGCAAAGGAAGCACCGGCUAACUCCGUGCCAGCAGCCGCGGUAAUACGGAGGGUGCGAGCGUUAAUCGGAAUUACUGGGCGGAAAGCGCUCGUAGGCGGUAUGUCAAGUCAAGGGUGAAAUCCCCGCGCUCAACGUGGGAACUGCCUUUGAAACUGGCAGACUGGAGUGCGUUAGAGGAUGGUGGAAUUCGAGGUGUAGGAGUGAAAUGCGUAGAUAUCAGGAGGAACAUCAGUGGCGAAGGCGAUUAACUGGCACAUAACUGACGCUGAGGAGCGAAAGUGUGGGUAGCAAACAGGAUUAGAUACCCGUGUAGUC
This 465-nucleotide ribosomal RNA is filed under the name uncultured bacterium. RNAcentral's name for it is "partial 16S ribosomal RNA". It matches the Rfam family "Bacterial small subunit ribosomal RNA", at positions 338 to 795 of the family's 1533-position model. The record is from RNAcentral.